AAAAAGGGAACUCACAAGAAAAAGAGGCACAGAUUCUACACUACAUCAUCACUGAAAUUUUCCACACUCCAGAGAUGACUCUCCUCCAUCAUCAUACAUAUACGCACAUUCACAGCAACACAUAAGGCGGGAGGGCUCAAUUUUUUUUUUUUUUUCCAUGGAUCCCUGAUUCAUCUUUUACACAGUCACCAUCAUAUAAACACAACACACACUCUCAUAGAUUCUUCUUCUACACACAACUCACACGCAUACACAGUGAUAUCGAUGUAAAGAGGCGAGAUAUCAAUGAAACAGCGAGAAAUUGUGAGAGGAUGGGAGCAAAGCAGUAAAAAAAUAGAACAAGAUAGAUUGAUUCUCGGGUUUUUCCGGCGAGAUUUCUGCCGGAAGUGACGACGGCUCGUCCAAAUAACCCAACCAGUGCCAAAAUCCCCCAGAAAUCUCAUCGUUGUUAUUGAGUUUUAGGUGAAAUCCCGCCGGAAAUAAUAUCCCAGUAGAUCGUUAGUCCUAAACCGGCCAUUCGGGUUGAUUCCGGCGAGUUCUCACCGGAAAUCAUCAGACGGGUUCUCAGCUUCUUGUUGGAAGUUUUGGUUUCAGGUUGUUUUUGUCUAUUUUCCGCGAUUUUUGUUCGAACUGGUGAAAAACAGAGCAAAAGUUGAAAUACCGAGGCUUGGUUUCGUUGUUUGGAUCUGUUUCGGGGUUCAUCGGUUCACGAGGCUUGAAAUCGAUACAAGUUGAUUGAAUAAAAGGAACAUUGAGGUACAACUCUAUCUUUUCUCUCUUUAAUUUUAACGUAAUUGUGAGUAUUUUGUGUGCUUACCAUGUUUGAAUCGUCAUAGUGUAUUGUUUGAUGUUGGAGUUGGAUGUGAAAUCUUGAUUGGUGAAUCACGUAUGAAAUUAGUUUAAUCAUGUUGAGAUUGAAUUCGGGGUGAAAUUGAGAAAUUGACAAAACAGUGAAUUUGGAUUGAUUAAGACUUUGGUUUAAGUAUGAAUAUUGUUGAACACAAUAGUAGCAUGAUUAGACCAUUAAUUGGUAGGCAAAUUCUAGAUUUUGAGGUAAGCAACUCAUAGGAUUCUAAUCAUCAAAUGUGUAAAUGUUUGUGUUGAGUGAUUUUUCCCAUUUUAUCGCUUAAAAAUAUACUCAUUUGGUCGGGAAUGCUCCGAGGAAUUUGUAUUGAUUUAUUCGGGGAAUGCUCCGACAUAUCAUGUAUGUAAAGGAGGUUCGUGAUCAAGGCCCGAGACAUCGGGUAAGGCAUCGGACCGUAGUUUUAGGAUUAGAUUUGAAUAUGUAAUGACCCUUACGGUCAUUUUACUGUAUUUUCAUAUAAUUGUAGUACUAUCUAUCUAUAUAUAUAUCGUGGAUUAUUUAAUUUAAUUUGACAUUUUGCAAAAAUAUAACUUAGUAACCUUCUAAAAUAUUUUCGAUAUUUAUAAAAUUCUUUAAGUCAUGAGAUAUUUAUCUCACUUUAUAAUAAACUUUUAUAAUUUGUUAAUAUUGUAAGCGGAGAUAGUAAUUUUAGAAAAAUAUUAAAAUAUUAUUAUUAUAUAAUAGAGGUUUUGUUAGAAAUAAUUUUCUAUUAAUUAUGAUAUAUUCAAAAUAUUAUAAUUAUUUUAUCAUGAAUUUAUACAAUACCAGAUUAUGUACACAAUGUAGGAAAAAUAAGGCAACCGUUCACGUGGAAAUGAAUGGGUGGACCACUUUUGUAAUCAUCCAAUUUAAUUGCCAUGUGUUACUCCUAACGUAGCAUUUCAAUAUUUUAUCAAUCAAUGAAUAAGACAUAAUGGUCCCUCUCUCUUUAUUAUAUAUAUAUUUGGGCUUUCCAUUUUUGGAGAGAAAUUUUAGAAAGCAAAGUGUAUGUUAUUACCAGUUCCCUUUCGCCUUUUUUUUUUUUAUGUGCUAAACACAUAGCUAUAAUAUUUUUCUAAAAGAAGUUUUGGCGGAUGUACUUGUUCUUUUAAUCAAUUAUCUUCUGCAAGUAAUUUGAGAUUGGGUUUUUCGGAGGCUUUUUGGAAGAAUUAUAGCUUUGGCGUUCAGGUAGGUUAGGUUUACCCUAUUUUUAGAUUGAGCUUACUUACUGAAAAUCUUAACUAUUAUGUUAGCUUUGGAUAAAUCCUUGUAGAUGCGUAUUUUUGAUACAUAUAAAUUGUCUUAUUUAUUCGAAUUAGGGCCCCGUUUUAGUAAAUUUUUGGAAAACUUAUCUCUUAAUAUAAUGUAACAUGUAUCACUUUGGGACGUAAAUAUACUUUUUAUUUGAAAGUAUAGUUGUAUACAUAUAUAUAUAUUUGCUUCUCUUCAUCAUCCUCCAAUAUACCUUUAGAAAUGGUUAUAUGAAACGUGUAUGCAUAUAUAAUUAUUUGAAAAGCAUAUAUGUAUAAGAGUAUAUAUUAAGCAUAUGAUAAUAUAGACAUAUAGUAUAUUUAUUAAAUUACAAAACCUUGAAUUUAUCCCUUUUUAAGAUUAAAGAAUGAUUGUUUAGACAUUGUUAUGAUAUGGUAUGAAUUUUAUUAUUUUCGGUGGUUAUGGUUACUAUGAGUUCCGGUUCGAGUCCGGCAAAUGAUUUUUAUGGUUACUAUGAGUUCCAAUUUGAGUCUGGCAAAUUAUUAUUAUGGUUACUAUGAGUUUCGGUUCGAGUCUGGCAAAUGAUUAUUAUGGUUACUAUGAGUUUCGGUUCGAGUCCGGCAUCUGCUUAUGAGUUCUAUAUAUAUGGCCUCUCGUUAUUACCCACUGGUGCCGGUUCAAGUCCUGUGCACAUCUGGAAAACUAUUAUGAUUUAUGGUGAUCAGCGCAGUUAUAGACUAUUUAUGUUUAUUUUCAUUACUUGUGUGUCCCACCGGCUUAUGGGGGUACGGAUGGUUUAAUUGUCUUCUUUAGUGUGCCUAGCGGGCUUAUGGGGGCCCAGCUAGGUUAUGUUUGAUUUAUCUAUUAUUACUGCAUUAUUAUUUUUUGGUAUCGCAUAAGUUUAUUCCUUUACAGCCAUUGCAUAGCUUGGUAGCUGUUUACCUUUCCAUUCCUAUCUACUAAUGACUCAGAUUACGCCCUCGCAUUGUAGUUAUACCUUUUCUGUAUUACGCUCAGUCGGGCGAUGAUGCCUACUGAGUACCCGUAAGUUUUGGUACUCAUACUACACUUCUGCAUCUUUUUCUGAUGCAGCUCAGGGUAAUAGCAGUCGACGUUAACGUGGUUCCUACCUUCCAUCAUUGAUUUAGAGCAGGGUGAUCUUAUUGUCGUCUGAGGCUGAUCCUCUUCUAUCUAUUCCAGUUAGUCUUUUGUUCUCGAGACUGCUUGUGUAUAUUGUGUACAUUUUAUAUUUUUGUCUAGUACUCUAGGUACCUUUUAGUAAUGGCUCUAGUACUGACCUUAUCAGGUCUUGGGAGGGAUUCAUUGUAAGUUGAUCCUUUUUCCUCAUCUCGUUUUGAUAUAAUAUAUAUGCUCCUUUCUUAGUUUUUACUUAUUAUUAUUAUACAUAAUCCUUUAUUUGGUCUCUGCCUGUUAGCCCGUUACUUAUAAUUUCGGACUAUGGCUUGACUUGCCUACUUGUGGGUUAAAGUAGGCGCCAUCAUUACUUGAGAAAUCGGGUCGUGACAGAUUGGUAUCAAAGCAUAGGUCUUACUGGUAUUGUUAGUACUGGAGCUGAUGUUUAGUUGAGUCUUGCGGAUCGGUACGGAGACGUCUGUAUCUUAUCCUCGGGAUGCUACCGAGCAUUUUUAGGAAAAAAAAUCUCAUUAUUGAUCCAUUUUGUGCAUUAAGUCUGGGUUGGUUGUAAUCUUCUUUCAUUGGCUCACUGUUUACACAGAUGGCUAGGACGCGAGGUUCAAGAGCGGGCGGUCGGGGCCCGGGGCACGCUUCUAGAGUUCUAGCUUGGGGUUGAAGUCGACCCAGAUAUCAGGGGCAGGGUAGAGCAGCACAGGGUGGUGUUGACUUAGUGGCACAGCCUGCGGCAGCGAUGCUUAGGGUAGAGAUUUUGCUAGCACCAGUAGUCCCACAACCGGUAGUAGCCCCGCCAGUUAUAUCUUCGGAGGGGCAAAAAAUAUUAGGCCAAUUUUUGAAAUUGACUCCACCCAGAUUUACCAGGACACAAGGAGAGGAUGCUAUGGAGUUUCUAUCCAGUUGUGAGGAGCGGUUGCGGAAUUUGGGUUUGGUUGAAGCACGGGGAGUAGACUUUGUUUCUUAUCAGUUCGACACAGCAGUGAGGAGGUGGUGGAGUGGUUAGCUUGAUUCUAGGCCAGCUGGAUCUCCCAGUGACUUGGACCCAGUUCUCCGAGGCUUUCUUAGGGAAGUAUAUGCCUCGUAGCAUGCGUGAGCGUCUCCGAGAUGAGUUUACAGCUUGGGACAGGGUUCUAUGAUCGUGUCUGAGUAUGAAGUGAUAUUCCAUGAGUUAGCCAGACACGCCACUAUGAUUCUGGAAACGGAGUACGAACGAAUUUGAUGCUUUGUUAGGGGAUUGAGGUUGUCACUUCGUAGGGUUACACAGAGUUUGGUGACUUUAGGGAAGUCUUUUUUGGAGAUAUCCGAUCAUGUUUAUUCCAUAGAGGAGAUGGAUCGUGAGGCUUAAGAGGGCAGCGAUAAGAGACCACGUUGCCAGGGCAGUUAUAGCGGUUCUCAGUUCUCAGGCCGAGGAUUUCAUGGUAGAUACCCCCAUCAACAGCCUUUACAGCAUCAGGGUCAGCCUAGUCGGCCAGUUCAGGCAUCACUUCAGAUAUCCGACCUGGGCUCAGCCCGGCUAUAAUAGUUCCAGUGGUCAGAGUAGCAGCCAGCCAUAGAAGGUUAUUCAGCCAGGAUUGUCGAGUAAAGGUGGUCAUUUUGGAUUCGCCGGACCUUCUAGACAGAGCAGGGUGCCCAGGAUAUGUUAUGACUGCGGGAUUAUUGGUCACUUUGCUCGUGAGUGCCCUCGGCGUAGGAUGAUUGGGCCUUCAGUUCUGAAUGUGCAGCCGAUUAGAUCAGUGUCGCCGUUGGGUAAAGGUAGUGUACAGGGUCGUGGAGGUGAUCCCCAGGGUUGUAGAGGUGGUCCACAGGGAGGUAGGGCAAGUGGUUGGGCAGGUACCCAGUCCAGUAGUGGACAGGGUCAUUUAUAUGCCGUACCAGGUAGACCAGAGGCUGAGGCUUCAGAUGCCAUGAUCACAAGUACGAUAUUCGUAUCCCAUCAGACAGCUUCUGUUUUGUUUGAUCCCGGUUCCACACUUUCAUAUAUUUUUGCUUAUUUUGCAUCGCGACUGGGUUUAUGUUCGGAGUCUUUAUCUGUGCCAUUACGUGUGGCUACCCCACUAGGUGAUUCUUUAGUAGUGGAUCGGGUAUAUAGAUCUUGUUUGGUGACUAUUCAGGAGUUUGAUACUCAUAUUGACCUCAUUGUCCUAGAUAUAGUAGAUUUUGACGUGAUUCUAAGCAUGAAUUAGUUGUCUCCUUACCAUGCGAUCUUGAAUUGUUUUGCUAAAAUCGUUACUUUAGAUUUGCCUGGCAUAACCCCAGUUGUGUGGCAGGGUUCCGUUAGCCGUGCACCGAUGGGGAUUAUUUGGUACAUUCGGGAUAGGAGACUGAUAUCGAAGGGUUGUGAGUCUUUUCUUGCAUAUAUCAGGGAUGUUAGUGUUGAGAGUUCCCCGCUUGACUCCGUCCCUGUUGUUCGUGAGUUUUUUGAUAUAUUUCCGACCGACCUACCUGGCUUUCCUCUUGAGCGUGAUGUAGAGUUUAUUAUUGACCUCGAGCCAGGCACCCAACCUAUUUCUAUUGCUCCAUAUUGUAUGGCUCCUGCUGAGUUGAAGGAGCUGAAUAGUCAGCUUGAGGAUCUUCUAGGUAAGAGUUUUAUCAGACCGAGUGUAUCACCUUAGGGUGCUCCAGUUCUGUUUGUAAAGAAAAAGGAUGGAUCCUUACGUAUGUGUAUCGAUUACAGGCAGUUGAAUAAGGUGACGGUGAAAAAUAAGUAUCCUAUGCCUCGCAUUGAUGAUUUGUUUGAUCAGCUUCAGGGAGCGGCGGUGUUUUCUAAAAUUGAUUCGAGGUCUGGUUACCAUCAGUUGAGAGUUAGGGCUGCGGACAUCCCUAAGACAGCCUUCAGGACUCGUUAUGGUCAUUAUGAGUUCUUGGUGAUGUCUUUUAGGUUGACAAAUGCUCUAACAGCUUUUAUGAAUCUGAUGAAUCUCGUGUUCAGGCCAUAUUUGGACUCCUUCGUGAUAGUAUUUAUUGAUGACAUUCUUGUAUAUUUGAGGAGUAAGGAGAAGCACGAGCAACAUUUGAGGACUGUGCUCCACACUUUGAGAGGCCACAGGCUUUAAGCCAAGUUCUCAAAAUAUGAGUGUUGGCUUGAGUCUGUAGCUUUCUUGGGGCACGUAGUGUCCAAGGACGGUAUUAUGGUGGACCCAGCCAAGAUUGAGGCUAUUCGUAGUUGGGCCAGGCCUACAUCACUCUUCGAGGUUCGUAGCUUUAUUGGGUUGGCAGGUUACUACAGGCAGUUCAUUAAAGGUUUUUCUUCUAUUGCAUCCCCUAUGACUAGAUUGACCAGAAAGGAUGUUCCGUUUCAGUGGUCUGCAAGUUGUGAGGCGAGCUUUAUGAAGCUUAAGGAAUUACUUACUUUAGCUCCUAUUCUGACUCUUCUUGUUGAGGGCGGGGAUUUUACUGUCUAUUGUGAUGCGUCUGGUGUUGGUGUGGGGUGUGUUCUGAUGCAGCGUGGCCGUGUAAUUGCAUAUGCAUCGAGACAGUUGAAGGUGCAUGAGCGAAACUAUCUCACUCAUGACUUAGAGUUGGCAGCGGUAGUAUUUGCGCUUAGGAUUUGGAGGCAUUACUUGUAUGGGGUUCGCUGUGAGAUAUUUACUGAUCACCGUAGUCUGCAGUAUAUUAUGACCUAGAAGGAGCUUAAUUUGAGGCAGCGUAGGUGGAUUACCUCGUACUUUGCAUGGUUUUGACAGUAUUGGCUUAUUGUGGAUCGAUUGACCAAGUCUGCUCAUUUUAUCCUUGUUCGAGUUUCCUACAGUGCCAAGAGGUUAGCUCGUAGUUAUAUCCAGGAGGUGGUUUGCCUACAUGGGGUCCCUGUGUCCAUUAUCUCUGACCGAGGCUCUCAAUUUACUUCUAGCUUUUGGAGGACAUUUCAGGAGGAGUUGGGAAGCUAGGUUGACCUUAGCACAGCCUUUCAUCCCCAGACGGAUGGACAAUCAGAGUGGACUAUCCAGGUCUUAGAAGAUAUGCUACGCGCUUGUGUGUUGGAUUUUAGAGGUCAGUGGGACCUGUUUCUACCUUUGGCAGAGUUUGCAUAUAAUAAUAGCUUUCACGCGAGUAUUUAGAUGGCCCCAUUUAAGGCAUUGUAUGGUAGGCGAUGUCGAUCUCCUAUUGGUUGGUUCGAGACUUCUGAGGCUAGGCCUCGUGGCACAGAUUUGCUUCAUGAUUCGUUGGAUCGUGUUUGAGUGAUUCAGGACAGGCUACGAGCAGCUCAGAGCAGACAGAGGUGUUAUGCUGAUCGCAGACGUCGUCUAUUGAGUUUUAGAGUUGGUGAUAAGGUCUUCUUACGAGUAUCGCCCAUGAAGGGUGUGAUGAGGUUUGGAAGAAGGGGCAAGCUUAGCCCUAGAUAUAUCAAACCUUUUGAGAUCCUACAGAGAGUUGGGGAAAUAGCUUCUGUAUUGGCAUUGCCACCUGCCUUCUUAGCCAUUCACCCGAUGUUUCAUGUAUCUAUGUUACGACAGUAUAUUCCAGAUGAGUCACGUGUACUUCAGUAGGACUCGGUUCAGUUGGACGAUGAAUUGGCAUUUGUAGAGGAGCCAAUAUCUAUUUUGGCGAGGGACGUCAGGCGGUUGCGUUCCAGGGACAUUCCGAUAGUCAAGGUUCAGUAGCGUCACCGUCCAGUUAAGGGGGCUACAUGGGAGAUCGAGAGUGAUAUACGCGCCCAGUAUUCCUACCUGUUUGACCCUUCAGGUAUUUCCUUAUCUUUUACUUUCGCAAACAAAAGUCCUUUUAGUAGUGGAUACUGUAAUGACCCUUACGAUCAUUUUACUGUAUUUUCAUAUAAUUGUAGUACUAUCUAUAUAUAUAUAUAUAUCGUGGAUUAUUUAAUUUAAUUUGGCAUUUUGUAAAAAUAUAACUUAGUACCCUUCUAAAAUAUUUUCGAUAUUUGUAAAAUUUUUUAAGUCACGAGAUAUUUAUCUCACUUUAUAAUAGACUUUUAUAAUUUGUUAAUAUUGUAAGUGGAGAUAGUAAUUUUAAAAAAAUGUUAAAAUACUAUUAUUAUAUAAUAGAGGUUUUGUUAGAAAUAAUUUUCUAUUAAUUAUGAUAUAUUCAAAAUAUUAUAAUUAUUUUACCAUAAAUUUAUACAAUACCCGAUUAUGUACACAAUGUAGGAAAAAUAAGGCAACCGUUUACGUGGAAAUGAAUGGGUGGACCACUUUUGUAAUCAUCCAAUUUAAUUGCCAUGUGUUACUCCUAAUGUCAGCAUUUCAAUAUUUAAUCAAUCAAUGAAUAAGACAUAAUGGUCCCUCUCUCUUUAUUAUAUAUAUAUUUGGGCUUUCCAUUUUUGGAGAGAGAUUUAGAAAGCAAAGUGUAUGUUACUACCAGUUCCCUUUCGCCUUUUUUUUUUAUGUGCUCAACACACAGCUAUAAUAUUUUUCUAAAAGAAGUUUUGGCGGAUGGACUUGUUCUUUUAAUCAAUUAUCUUCUGCAAGUAAUUUGAGAUUGGGUUUUUCGGAGGCUUUUUGGAAGAAUUAUAGCUUUGGCGUUCAGGUAGACUAGGUUUACCUUAUUUUCAGAUUGAGCUUACUUACUGAAAAUCUUAACUAUUAUGUUAGCUUUGGAUAAAUCCUUGUAGAUGCGUAUUUUUGAUACAUAUAAACUAUCUUAUUUAUUCGGAUUAGGGCCCUGUUUUAAUAAAUUUUUGAAAAACUUAUCUCUUAAUAUAAUGUAACAUGUAUCACUUUGGGACGUAAUAUAUAUAUAUAUAUAUAUAUAUAUAUUGCUUCUCUUCAUCAUCCUCCAAUAUACCUUUAGAAAUAGUUAUAUGAAACAUGUAUGCAUAUAUAAUUAUUUGAAAAGCAUAUAUGUAUAAGAGUAUAUAUUAAGCAUAUGAUAAUAUAGAUAUAUAGUAUAUUUAUUAAAUUACAAAACCUUGAAUUUAUUCCUUUUUAAGAUUAAAGGAUGAUUGUUUAGACAUUGACAAUGUUAUGAUAUGGUAUGAAUUUUAUUAUUUUUGGUGAUUAUGGUUACUAUGAGUUCCGGUUCGAGUCCGGCAAAUGAUUAUUAUGGUUACUAUGAGUUUCGGUUCGAGUCCGGCAAAUUAUUAUUAUGGUUACUGUGAGUUCCAGUUCGAGUCCGGUAAAUGAUUAUUAUGGUUACUAUGAGUUUCGGUUCGAGUCCGGCAUCUGAUUAUGAGUUCUAUACAUCUGGCCUCUCGUUAUUACCCAUUGGUGCCGGUUCAAGUCCGGUGCACAUCUGGAAAACUAUGAUGAUUUAUGGUGAUCAAUGCAGUUAUAGACUAUUUAUGUUUAUUUUUAUUACUUGUGUGUCCCACCGGCUUAUGGGGGAUACGGAUGGGUUAAUUGUCUUCUUUAGUGUGCCUAGCGGGCUUAUGGGAGUCCAGUUAGGUUAUGUAGUGUGCCUAGCGGGCUUAUGGGGGCCCAGCUAGGUUAUGUUUGAUUUAUCUAUUAUUACUGCAUUAUUAUUUUUUGGUAUCGCAUAAGUUUAUUCCUUUACAGCCAUUGCAUAGCUUGGUAGCUGUUUACCUUUCCAUUCCUAUCUACUAAUGACUCAGAUUACGCCCUCGCAUUGUAGUUAUACCUUUUCUGUAUUACGCUCAGUCGGGCGAUGAUGCCUACUGAGUACCCGUAAGUUUUGGUACUCAUACUACACUUCUGCAUCUUUUUCUGAUGCAGCUCAGGGUAAUAGCAGUCGACGUUAACGUGGUUCCUACCUUCCAUCAUUGAUUUAGAGCAGGGUGAUCUUAUUGUCGUCUGAGGCUGAUCCUCUUCUAUCUAUUCCAGUUAGUCUUUUGUUCUCGAGACUGCUUGUGUAUAUUGUGUACAUUUUAUAUUUUUGUCUAGUACUCUAGGUACCUUUUAGUAAUGGCUCUAGUACUGACCUUAUCAGGUCUUGGGAGGGAUUCAUUGUAAGUUGAUCCUUUUUCCUCAUCUCGUUUUGAUAUAAUAUAUAUGCUCCUUUCUUAGUUUUUACUUAUUAUUAUUAUACAUAAUCCUUUAUUUGGUCUCUGCCUGUUAGCCCGUUACUUAUAAUUUCGGACUAUGGCUUGACUUGCCUACUUGUGGGUUAAAGUAGGCGCCAUCAUUACUUGAGAAAUCGGGUUGUGAUAGAAUAAGAUUCAUAUUUUCACAUUUUUUCUAGUUUUGAACUGUGUAAUUGGAUUGGACACUAUAUUUUGGAUUUGUUUUGUUUUGUAUGUUUGAUUGAUCGUUUUAUGUGUUUUUUAUGUGAUUUAUACAUUUGUAAUGUCAAAUUAGCCGAUACGCUCAACUAAGCGAUCUUGGUUGAAUCACGGGAUCGAGGAGUGCCUAACUCCUUCUCCUCGUUCAACAGAAUUCCUUAACCGGAAUCUCUGUUUGCAGAUCAGUUUUUAGAGUCAAAUUAUUUUGAAAAGGAUCUUUCAAAGGUGACUUGGCACACUGGAUUAUGUCAAGUUGUGACUCUGAAUAAAAAAUGUAAAUAAUUCUUUUUUCAAAAUAAAUUUUUAAUCUUUUGUCACUUUAAUAAUAAAAACUCUUUUGAACUUAAAAGAUAUCCUUUCGGGUAAAAAACGGAUGUGACAGCGAUAAAACUGUUCUCAUAACUGCUAGGCAAAACUCCUUCAAACAGGCCUAAUUAAGGCUCAUAAUUGAAUUACUAAACUCUUGUUAAGUAUUUUAUCCUUAUUAGAGACAGUACCUAAUAUCAUGAUUAAUGUAGUAAUCCAUGUUUAUGUAUUACUACUUACUAGGGAGAAGCACAAAAAAAAUGUAACUCCUGUCUAUGUAUUACGAACAUCAUCAACAUCUAUUGUUCUGAAUAUGAUGAAGCUGGCUUUUUUGGAAUUUGAUUUCUUUUAUGGUCACUCAACUAAUAAUUUUUAUCUCAGGAAUCAGGAUAUCACUCACUUAAUUUUGUAGUGCAAAAGUUAAGAAGAUGUUUGACCAUGAGAAUUUUUCACUUUUUUUUGGAGUUCAAUUUCGGAAAAUAUGUUUGACCAUAAAUUUCCGAAAAAUUCUGCUUUCACUUUAUUUAAAAAUUCCAAGAACAACAAAAAGUCGUUUUCACGUCAAGUUACUCAUCAAAAUUCAAAAACAACUCUAAUUUAUUUCAUGACCAAACAUUUCUCCAAUUUCCAAAAAAUCAUUUUUCAUGUUUGAAAACAACAACAAUUUUUUUCUAUUUUCACUGGGAAACUUGGCCAAACACCUACUUAUCUCAAAAACUCACUCAACUUUAUUUUGUCUAAAGUGGCCUUUAUAUCUAAACUAGACAUUCAAUUUCGUGCUAGCACAAGUUCAAUAUAUGCUAUUUUUUUCAUCCCAAUUUUGUAAUGUUAAUAGAAUCUAGAGAAUUAUUUUAAGUUAUUAAUUGUUGUAAUUUAUAUGUAAUACUUUAUACAUCAUUUUUCCAAACUAAUUGUGGAAUUUAAAAAAUUCUGCCAAACUAAUUGGAUAUACCUAAUCUUUUAAAAUAGAAGUUAGGCAAAAAAAUAAAAAUACAAUAAUAAGGUCCUUAAUAUAUCUCAAUGUGUAGAAGACUCCCUAGACCCUUUUUUUCAAUUAUAUCACUGUAUAUUUUCCAUACAAAUACAUUUAUACACAAGUAUAGAGUGCCUUUAAUAAAACAUUCAAAACUUUAAGUAGAAAUGUCCAAAUGACAAGCGGAGUUGAAAGCUACAAAUAAUGUCUGUAUAUUUACAAAUAAUUACAAGGUAUUAUACUAAUAAUUACAAGGUGUUACCUUAUUUUUUUUUAUGUUUUGAAAUAGAAAAAUCACUUGCGAUUACAAUUACAAAGUCACUCAACCAAUUAUAUUCAAGUGAUAUUUGUGAUAGAUAUAUUGCCUCAUGAAGAAAUUUCUAAAAGCUAAAUUUUUAAUAAAUAAAAAUCUACCCAUUUGAAUUAACUACUAAAUUAACCUGCUCUACUGAUCGAAUUACUUAAAUUUAAUGAAUUUUAUAUAUAGUGUAAGAGGACCCUUUGAGAGAUUUAUGUAACUAUACAAUCUUAAAAAUCACAUUACAAAUUUUUAUCAUUAUUUUCAAAAUCUGAAGUUAAACAAAUUUGCUUUUUCGUCUAAUUGAUCAAUUCAUAAGACAUUAUUAUAUAAUGUAACAUUAUUAAGUAUAAGACAUUAUUUUAUUUAUAUUCUAUUGUCAUUUUUUAAGUCAACAAAUAUAUAAUAAUUAUAUGGGCAAUGUAGAUUAAUUAGAAUAUCUAAUCAAUUAUCUUAAAUAAAAAUACAAAAAAAUAAAAAUAAAAUCAACGUAUGUUUUAAAAGGGAAUAAAUAUUAGAUCCUGGAUUUAAUGGGGCCUCAUUUAGUUAAUUAAUUUGCAAAAUUUUAUAUUAUGCUAAAAUUGUUAUAAAAUAUGUUAUUUAUGAAACAUUGCAAAAAUUAUGUGUAACACCCCGUACUUUCGGGCUAGAAUUUAGACCGUCGUUCCUAUGCGUAUAGAUCCGAACUAAAUGAUUCCAUGUUAAUAUAUGUGUAGUGAUCACUCCUAUAGUGUGGGAAAACCUUUGAAUAUGAAUUGAAGUCACAAAAAUCCCCUAACUCAAAGACGAAUUAAAAACUUUUCUAUCAAUAAAUUUUAGUGAACGUUUCAACGUGGGUCAAUAUCCAUCGACUAUUACUCCUAGAAUAUGAUGAUUUAGAGGACCUACUAUAUAUUGAAUGAAUGGUCUUCGAGGUAGCUUUCCAACGAUACCAAUUUCGCCUCAAUCCGACACCCGAGAUAAAAGUUAUGACUUUGCAAAGAGGAGUGUGUCGCCUAAGGCUAUUGGAAUUGUUGCGCCAUAGGCAAUGCGACGCCCAACCUAUUUUGGGCGAUGGGCAAUGCACGACACAACCUAGCUUAGGAUAUAGGCAAUUUGUCGCAUGCCCUAUGGCCCAACGACGUAAAUACUUCAUUUUUAAGUCAUUUUAAGGGAAAUCAAGUCUUUUUACAAUCCAAAAUUGUCCCUAAUUCAUCUUCCAAGAACACCAUAAGAGAAAAACAACUUAGGGCUAAACAUUCAAGCUCAAGGGAUCAACUUUUCUGUGAAUUCUUCAUCGAUUAAGGUAAGUACGGCUGUCCUAAAAACUCUAUGGGUAUAAGUUAUAUUUUAGCAAUCUUUAGAAAGUAUGUUAUGAUAUUUAUAACAAGGGUUUGAACAAUUUUUUUGAAUAUCUAAAUCAUGAAACCCUUUUCAAUGAUAGACGUAUUGUUUUGGUCUUGAUGCCUCCCCUUAAAAUUGAUUUUUACUCUUGUAUAUGUAAGUAUGCGUUUUGAGUUUUGCAAAGAUUAAAUUGAGAGCAUGAAUGACGAAACCCCUCUCUUGUUAAAAUAACUCUAGAUUUCACAUAUGAUGGGUUGUUCAAUUACAUAUUUUGAAGCGUGAGAUAAGUGUUUUACUAUUGUUUUGAACUUGAUAUUUAUUAUGAAUUGAAGAGAAGAUGUUUUAUUAUUUAUAAAUAUUUAAUGUGAUAAUUGAAAGAGAUUGCAUGAUUUGUAACGUGAUACUUGACCAUCACGUGUUUGUGAAUUGAAAUUGAGGAUCUUUGCCUAAGUUUUUAUGAGUUUCACUAUACGCAUCCUCAUGUAUGGUUUGAAUGGUUUGGUCAUCUGAACACAAGUUUUUGAAAGAGAAUACUUAACAUGAUUAUGUAUGACUUAGAGAUACGACUUGCAAGUCUUGGUAUGACGAUACUAAAUAGAUGAAUGCCAUAGCAGACUCAGAACAAACUAAAAUACAAUACAAAUUUUACUUAGAUUUUUAGAAUUUGAUUUAAGAAAGAUACAUGUUUAGAACAAACUAAAAAUGGUCUUAAAGAGAGUUAGGUGGUUACCCGAAGAAAUUACGAGUUGAAAGACUCAAUGCUAGAAACCGUGAUUUGCCGACACGGGGUUAUGGUACUAUGCUUUGUGAUCUUGUGUACCUUGAUUCAUGUCAUUCCAAAUUGGUACUAUUGUUAGGAGCCCUUCUUUUUAAUCUUGUGCACUACCAAGACAUGUUGAUUUGAUUAGAGAUUUUGGCACCCUGCUGUGUGAUCUUGUGUAUCCCCCUUAUUGAUACUCCAAUCCUGGAGGCAAACUUGGAUUGGGAGAUUAGCCAUCGAGUCAAGGGUGGAUUCUAUAUAGCCCGUGGAAUUACAGAAUGUAGGGUGUACCACCUAGCUCAGAAGUAUGACAAAGAAUGAGUUAUGAUUUCAAAGAAUUGUUCAAAGUCUUUUAAAGUAUGCCCAUGUGUUUUCAUAUUCUUUAUCUAAAAUAUUUUAUGAAUUGCUCUCACUUAUGAUAGAUAUAGAUACAUUAUUUUUUAUUGCCCUACUACUAGUACAUUUGUAUUGACCCCUAUAUUUCAGGAUUGAAGCUCAGUCCCGGGGUUUCGUUAAGCAGUAGAUUGACUUGACAGAAGUUGCAGCUAGUGAGCCUCCCUUACUUUGGAAGUUCUGAUUACAAAACUUGUCAUGGUUAUAUUAUUUUGAUCCAUGGUCCGACUGAGGCCUUGUCCCAGAGUUCAGACAAAUGUUAUUUUUAUUUAGUAAAGAUUUCACAGACCAGAGUCAUGUACUUUGAAUGUUAUAAACUUCAUUUUGUAUUGUCCAGUUGAAUUUAAAAAGUGACAAUGUUUUCGUUUAUUA
This 14762-nucleotide long non-coding RNA is filed under the name Capsicum annuum. RNAcentral describes it as "long non-coding RNA (CANN_LNC018117)". The record is from RNAcentral. Lineage: Eukaryota; Viridiplantae; Streptophyta; Magnoliopsida; Solanales; Solanaceae.